This 301-nucleotide ribosomal RNA is filed under the name uncultured bacterium. Its description in RNAcentral is "bacterial SSU rRNA". It matches the Rfam family "Bacterial small subunit ribosomal RNA", at positions 333 to 626 of the family's 1533-position model. The record is from RNAcentral.
GGUAGCCUACGGGGCGCAGCAGUAGGGAAUCUUCCACAAUGGGCGAAAGCCUGAUGGAGCAACGCCGCGUGGGUGAAGAAGGUCUUCGGAUCGUAAAACCCUGUUGUUAGAGAAGAAAGUGCGUGAGAGUAACUGUUCACGUUUCGACGGUAUCUAACCAGACAGCCACGGCUAACUACGUGCCAGCAGCCGCGGUAAUACGUAGGUGGCAAGCGUUAUCCGGAUUUAUUGGGCGUACAGGGAACGCAGGCGGUCUUUUAAGUCUGAUGUGAAAGCCUUCGGCUUAACAGGCGUAGUGCAU